Molecule: long non-coding RNA, 328 nt
Filed under: Homo sapiens (human)
Lineage: Eukaryota; Metazoa; Chordata; Mammalia; Primates; Hominidae
Description: HSALNT0001009
Source: RNAcentral
CCGACCGUCCUGGGCUUGAACCCAGCUCCAUUGCUAGCGGAAGGAGGGCCCGGGAAACUCAUGCUGUGACCUGAUAAAUGGCAUGCAGAGGAGUGUGCGAUUUUCUCAGGCCAGCCGUGGGGAGCUGUCAGAGCCGUCCAAAUUAAAGACAUUAAGAAAGGACCUUUGGAGAUGGCAAACAGGAUGGUGGAAUGGAUUCUUUCUGUCAGAUGAGAACUGGACAACAUGACCUCACAAGAUCCUUCUUUUCCUAAAGACUCUGGGACUCUGUGGAUUCCUGGGAACCUUCCGAAGAGUCAGUAGAAGCGGAGCUCCAUCACCCCCAUAU